RNAcentral lists this unclassified non-coding RNA (378 nucleotides) under plant metagenome. RNAcentral's name for it is "partial contains 5.8S ribosomal RNA, internal transcribed spacer 2, and large subunit ribosomal RNA". The stretch from base 1 to 105 matches the Rfam family "5.8S ribosomal RNA", at positions 50 to 154 of the family's 154-position model. The record is from RNAcentral.
GAAAUGCGAUAAGUAAUGUGAAUUGCAGAAUUCAGUGAAUCAUCGAAUCUUUGCACGCACCUUGCGCUCCUUGGUAUUCCUUGGAGCAUGCCUGUUUGAGUAUCAUGAAAUCUUCAAAGUAAAUCUUUUGUUAACUCAAUUGGUUUCUACUUUGGUAUUGGAGGUCUUUGCAGCUUCACACCUGCUCCUCUUUGUUCAUUAGCUGGAUCUCAGUGUUAUGCUUGGUUCCACUCGGCGUGAUAAGUUAUCUAUCGCUGAGGACACUGUAAAAGGUGGCCAAGGUAAAUGCAGAUGAACCGCUUCUAAUAGUCCAUUGACUUGGACAAUACUUUUAUGAUCUGAUCUCAAAUCAGGUAGGACUACCCGCUGAACUUAAGC